CAUAUGUUCAGACUGUCAUUUUCCUGUGUUAAGACAACUCAUCCCUGCAGUUACCUGUAGUCUCCACUGGGCAUCAGGAUUUCUUGUCGGUGCCCUAAACAGCAUGGGUUUUAGGACCCAGCAGGAGCAGGCUUACUUGUGCAGGGGGGAUUAAAAGGGGUGUUUACCCAGGUGAGCGGCGUUUUCUGUGUAUGGAUAGCAGUGGGAGAAGCAGCUGUCAGCAGAAGAGGGCGAUCGAUCAGCCACAGCAUGGCCUAUGGAGACACUGAACUGUGAGCACCAGCAGUGCACUGAGAGAGUGGGAUCAGUCCUCCAGAGGAGCGGUGUGUUGGGAGAUCGGGCUGUCGGCGCAAGGAGUGAGCUCAGACACGGUGUGAUCUGUAAAAGCGGUGCGUCUGCAGAAGAGUCCCUACGUAAUAAAGGAUUCCUUUUAAAGCCCUUGGUGAGCGGAAUGAGUUUUCACGGUGCUCUGCUAUGCUCAACAUCGAAAUGAAGGGGCAUUGAGAAGCAUCAGUCGAGACUCCAGCAUCUUGUUCUUUCAAACCCAAGGGCCGUUACACCUUGUGUACACUCAAAAUAAGGAAACUGGUGGGCUGUUACUUUAAAGGUGCAGUCUGCAACUCUUAUCAAAGUGACUUUUUGUCAUAUUCGCUAAAGCUGUCACUAUGUAAGGACGUCUUUUUACAUCAAAUUAGUAGUUUGUGUGAAAAAACCCCCACUUUUUUUCAUUAUAUAUAUAUAUAUAUAUAUAUAUAUAUAUAAUUUUAUUUUGUUUAAAUUACUGUGGUUCUUGUUAAUGUUACAUUUUUGAUACGUUUUUACUGUUUAAAUCUUUUUAAUUUACUGUAUUUAAUAUUCAUCUUGCACAGUUUUUUUUUUAAAUAAUUAGUUCAUGUUAACUUUGCAGUGUUUUGUUCAGGUAUUUAUCGUUAAGACUUUAAUAUAUAACAAAUCUAUUUAAAUAUAAUUCUUGGUGAAAUUAAUUCAAUUUAUCAGUGUU
Molecule: long non-coding RNA, 1000 nt
Filed under: Gouania willdenowi (blunt-snouted clingfish)
Lineage: Eukaryota; Metazoa; Chordata; Actinopteri; Blenniiformes; Gobiesocidae
Description: lncRNA (ENSGWIG00000007603.1)
Source: RNAcentral